GUUUUACGUUUCUGCACCAUAAUCGUAUGGAAAUCCAAUAGUCUAUUGAUAGAAGAACGAAAAGUUCCAAGAGCAGAGCUUGGGAACUUUGAAGAAAAUUUGGACAAGAGUGAAAUUUGACUAGCUGACGACAGUAGCGGCAGUACAUGGUAAAGCUAUAACAUGGCUGGGCAGUCUGGAGGUAACCCCAUCAGGCCAGAGGCCCUCGGGGGGAUAGACACUAAUAACCUGUUUGGGAAUAAUCCUACGGACAUCUUUGGACAAGGUGGAGAAAGUGGACUGGCGGCAAUGCUUCAGAGGGGUGGAGGUAAGAUAUAGAGGGGUGGAGGUAAGAUAUAGAGGGGUGAAGAAGACUGACAGCAAUGCUUGAGAGGGGUGGAGGUAAGAUAUAGAGGGGU
Molecule: long non-coding RNA, 398 nt
Organism: Saccostrea cuccullata (small rock oyster)
Lineage: Eukaryota; Metazoa; Mollusca; Bivalvia; Ostreida; Ostreidae
Exons: 3
Source: RefSeq, a predicted model, not a curated record